UGUUAAUUUUCUUGUUUGCAUUAAAUCAUAAUUUAUUUCAACCACCUGUCCAUGCCUGCUGCUUGGGUUCACACGUCUGAGUCGUGACAGUACCAGCAGUCAGAACACAGCUCCCACGGCAACGGUUAUGGUAAACAAACUUAAGGAAGAGAAAAAAAAAUCCUGGACAAGCGUGACCAGCUCAGAGCUGAACUGUCAAGCGCAAUAGAGGAUCGGCAGCAGGCACAGGCUUUCCUUCCUCCUCCAUAAGGAAAACAAAAGAGACACAGGAAACCUUCAUCCGAAUCAUCAACAAGCUCAUCCUCAACAAUAUCAUCCUCCACAUCAUCAUCAUCUUCGGAUUCAUCUUUAUCCUCCUCCAAGAAAAAAAGGCAAAGAGGAAGAAGUCCAAAGGGAGACUUCUCUAAAAGGAUAUCCCGAGAGCCCUCACUGAAGACACGAAGACCCUCAUCAAAGAGUACUAAGCCAGGAAUGAGAGGCUUACAGAUGCACAACACAUUUUAAAUCAUUUUCAUCCCUCAUGGUUGCUGGUGCUGGGGACAGCUGCUGGUGGCGACUGCUGGCUGUGGCCACUGAGGGACACUGGAUUCUGCAACAUUAUAAUACGCUACCCGGUGUGCAAAGUGUUGAAUCUGUUCUCUCCCUGUCUUACUUCAUCUACUUUAUAGUGUCCAGGACACACAUGAAGAGGAUGUCUCCCCACACACAAGUCAUUUGAUUAUUUUUUUUAUUAUUUCAAAAAUAAUUGUAAAAAAUAACAUGUUGUUGUUUCUCCCAUUGUCAAUAAAACAUACUAUUUCAUUCAUCAAA
Molecule: long non-coding RNA, 810 nt
Organism: Acanthochromis polyacanthus (spiny chromis)
Lineage: Eukaryota; Metazoa; Chordata; Actinopteri; Pomacentridae
Exons: 4
Source: RefSeq, a predicted model, not a curated record